Molecule: long non-coding RNA, 200 nt
Filed under: Elaeis guineensis (African oil palm)
Lineage: Eukaryota; Viridiplantae; Streptophyta; Magnoliopsida; Arecales; Arecaceae
Description: long non-coding RNA (EGUI_LNC077933)
Source: RNAcentral
CCCGCGAUAGACUCCACGUGGCAUGUCCCGAUGAUAGCCACGAUUCCACUCCACUACUCUCCGCAACAAACUCCUCCUGACCAUGGGCAGCCCACUGCCAGACGGUUACAAACAUCGCUAUCAGUCUGUUGCUCCCUCCGCCUAUAAAAGGGGGGACCCCAGAUAUGUUAUUCUCUAAGCUCUAUUUUCUAUCCCAAAAC